Molecule: ribosomal RNA, 478 nt
Filed under: uncultured bacterium
Lineage: Bacteria
Description: partial 16S ribosomal RNA
Rfam family: Bacterial small subunit ribosomal RNA
Source: RNAcentral
GACGAACGCUGGCGGCGUGCUUAACACAUGCAAGUCGAGCGAUGAAGCUUCUUCGGAAGUGGAUUAGCGGCGGACAGGUGAGUAACACGUGGGUAACCUGCCUCAUAGAGGGGAAUAGCCUUUCGAAAGGAAGAUUAAUACCGCAUAAGAUUGUAGUAUCGCAUGGUACAGCAAUUAAAGGAGUAAUCCGCUAUGAGAUGGACCCGCGUCGCAUUAGCUAGUUGGUGAGGUAACGGCUCACCAAGGCGACGAUGCGUAGCCGACCUGAGAGGGUGAUCGGCCACAUUGGGACUGAGACACGGCCAAGACUCCUACGGGAGGCAGCAGUGGGGAAUAUUGCACAAUGGUGGAAACCCUGAUGCAGCAACGCCGCGUGAGUGAUGACGGUCUUCGGAUUGUAAAACUCUGUCUUCAGGGACGAUAAUGACGGUACCUGAGGAGGAAGCCACGGCUAACUACGUGCCAGCAGCCGCAGUAA